AUUGAACGCUGGCGGCAGGCUUAACACAUGCAAGUCGAGCGAGCCGCAGACGGGUGAGUAAUGUCUGGGAAACAGCCUUAUGGAUGGGGAUAACUACUGGAAACGGUAGCUAAUACCGCAUACCAUCAGAUGUUCCCAGAUGGGAUUAGCUAGUAGGUAGGGGAAUGGCUAACCUAGGCCACGAUCCCUAGCUGGUCUGAGAGGAUGACCAGCCACACUGGAACUGAGACACGGUCCAGACGCCUACGGGAGGCAGCAGUGGGGAAUAUUGCACAAUGGGCGCAAGCCUGAUGCAGCCACGCCGCGUGUGUGAAGAAGGCCUUCGGGUUGUAAAGCACUUUCAUCGAGGAGGCGUUACUCGCACAAGAAGCACCGGCUAACUCCGUGCCAGCAGCCGCGGUAAUAC
RNAcentral lists this ribosomal RNA (406 nucleotides) under uncultured bacterium. RNAcentral's name for it is "partial 16S ribosomal RNA". It matches the Rfam family "Bacterial small subunit ribosomal RNA", at positions 30 to 526 of the family's 1533-position model. The record is from RNAcentral.